GCCCUCUUAGCGCAGUGGGCAGCGCGUCAGUCUCAUAAUCUGAAGGUUCUGAGUUCGAGCAUCAGAGACGGUA
RNAcentral lists this transfer RNA (73 nucleotides) under Pan troglodytes (chimpanzee). RNAcentral's name for it is "tRNA-Met (CAT) (tRNA-Met-CAT-10-1)". It matches the Rfam family "tRNA". Rfam says of the family: Transfer RNA (tRNA) molecules are approximately 80 nucleotides in length. Their secondary structure includes four short double-helical elements and three loops (D, anti-codon, and T loops). The record is from Rfam by way of RNAcentral. Lineage: Eukaryota; Metazoa; Chordata; Mammalia; Primates; Hominidae.